Molecule: ribosomal RNA, 192 nt
Filed under: uncultured bacterium
Lineage: Bacteria
Description: partial 16S ribosomal RNA
Rfam family: Bacterial small subunit ribosomal RNA
Source: RNAcentral
ACUCCUACGGGAGGCAGCAGUGAGGAAUAUUGGACAAUGGGCGCAAGCCUGAUCCAGCCAUGCCGCGUGCAGGAUGACGGUCCUAUGGAUUGUAAACUGCUUUUAUACGAGAAGAAACACUCCAACGUGUUGGAGCUUGACGGUAUCGUAAGAAUAAGGAUCGGCUAACUCCGUGCCAGCAGCCGCGGUAAU